GUCUAUGGCCAUGCCACCCUGAACAAGCCCAAUCCCAUCUGAUCUCAGAAGCUAAGCAGGGUCGGGCCUGGUUAGUAUUUGGAUGGGAGAACACCUAGGAAGACCAGGUGCUAUAGGCG
This 119-nucleotide ribosomal RNA is filed under the name Pteropus alecto (black flying fox). Lineage: Eukaryota; Metazoa; Chordata; Mammalia; Chiroptera; Pteropodidae. The record is from RNAcentral.